UGUUAAAAAAUUCAUCAAUUUAUGUUGUUAAAAACUGGGUGGUUGAUCGAAUAACUAGACAAUAAUGUAUAACGUGUCACGUAUAUCUCAUGUAGACAUACAAUGGCCGGUUUUUAGUGGUAGAAAUGAAUGAAUUUUUUAACA
Molecule: non-coding RNA, 144 nt
Organism: Gossypium raimondii (Peruvian cotton)
Lineage: Eukaryota; Viridiplantae; Streptophyta; Magnoliopsida; Malvales; Malvaceae
Source: Rfam